RNAcentral lists this long non-coding RNA (5906 nucleotides) under Marmota monax (woodchuck). Lineage: Eukaryota; Metazoa; Chordata; Mammalia; Rodentia; Sciuridae. The record is from RNAcentral.
GGGCUGAGUCUGAAAGAUGAAAAUCACUGGAGACAAACUGAGCUGGGGUCUAAAAUCCCAUUGCAUAACUUCUGGUGAGAGGGUGGGAGUCAAUUGAAUUCAUGUUAGAAAGCAGCAGUCUGGCCCUGACAUGUGCAAAGGGACCAUUGGGCUGUCUUAAUAGUAAACAUGUAAGGUCUCAGGUGAAGGAGCUGCUAGUACUCUGAGCUGGCCAGUUCACACAUGCAGGACAAAUGUAAUGACCAAGUAGGUGAAAGAAACCAGAAUGCCACAUGGAAGCAGAAAUGGUCAUGAGUUAAUUGUUGUUGAAGCUGGUCAUGGGUAAAUGGAGAUUUGUUACACUAUUCUUUCUGCUUGUAUGAACAUUUUGAAAUUUUCAUAGUAAAAAGUCAAAAAAGACAAUGGAUGAGUUGAUAAAGGAAAGUAUAUUGGCCUGCCUGAGAAGAAAAUUCUUGGGGGAUGAUAGAAUGAGGAAACCAAGAAGGGUAUAUAGAAGCAGAUGAGUGAAAGCCACAAGAAAUCAGAUUUUGGCUCAGCAUAAGGAAGAAUUUUUUUAACAUAGCUGUCAGGUGUGUGAGUCCAUCUAGUCCAGAUAUAGAUGUGGUAUGUCUAGGAUACUGUCUGGGGACUGCAUUGCCAGAGUUAUGCUAAAGGAGAUGGUAAGGACUGGUCAGAUCAUUGAUAUUUGGCCCCUUGAUGACCUGAAGAUAUGUCUUUUUUCUUGCCCUGGUGCCUGAGGCCUUUUUUCUAGAGACUAUCUGACAUUCUUCUCUGCCCAGUGUUUUGCAUAUACUCAGUCCUCAUUAACUCUGGUCCUUGAAGUGGCUUAGCCCAUGUUUAAAACUCUGCUGUAGUUUCUCAUCUUACUUUGAUUAGAGUGAUAACAGGCAAUACAGCUCUAUCCCCUCUCCUACCUUAUCUUUGUUUAUUCUCCUUUCUGUUUAUUUUUGGCCACACAGGCCUGCCUUCAGUUCUCUUGACUCAGACACCUCAGAGCCUUUGUGUCUGUGUUCCCUCUAACUGGAAAACUUUUCUCCCCAAUUAGAAUAUUAACUUUGUGAGAGGGAGUUUAUCUUAUUUGCUUCUAGAGAGACAGCACCUACAGAAACAGCACCUAGUCCUGACCCUGGCAUUUAUUAGGUAUAAGAAGUGUUUAUUAAUUGAAAAAAAAAAAUUGAAAGAAAGAAAUGGUACUCACAAGAGAAGAGAAAAAGUUGGGAACAUAGGCCAGAGUUUUUGAUUCCCUAGUCCAAUCCAGUGCCAUAAAUGAUGCUUUCACAGAACCAUUGCUGAGCUAGGGAUAGGGCUGUUUCAAGGCAGUAUCUUGGGAAAAUAAUGAAUACUCUAAAUUCAUUUGGUUCAUUUAGAGAUAGAUGAAAAAGGCCUUGAAAAAUAUUUAGACCCUUUUGGAGAAAUUAGAAGGACAGGUGCUAUCUCCAGGGUUACCUUUAGACAUUGUGACUGAGGGAGAUUUGAACAUUCUUGCAGUAGCCUGUAAACAUACCUGUCCUAGAUGUGGGAAGAAGUAAGGUACUUUUUCUUAAGGCUAUGAAAGUAGCCACAACCUGCCUAUCAUUUGAUAGAUACUUUCUCCCUACUGUACAAAUAUCCCUAACAUUUAAAUAUAAUAUAUCUUAACAUUUAGAAUAGAUAAAAAAUGGCGUUCUUUCAGGUAACAUUGCUAGAUUUUGUUAGAUCCAGAUAUUUCUUCUAACAGCUUUAGCAAUUCAGUGUGUUAGAGCAUCAGUCAGUUGCUUGGAAAGUUAUUAUUGCACAAUUCUUUCAAGAGAGAGAUGAGGAUAAAUCGUCUGGUUUCUCAACAACUGGGUUUCAUAUAUGGUGUCCUCCUUUGAGACACGUUCCCAUGGAUUCUUUGGUUAGCCAUUGACCCCUUGAGAUUUGAAUUCACUUCUACUUCACUUCGGAGCCUGAUGUUUCAGGAAAUGGGGUUUUCUUUUUUUUUUUUUUUUAAUUGUAGAUGGACACAAUGCCUUUAUUUUAUUUAUUUAUUUUUAUAUGGUGCUGAGGAUCAAACCCAGUGCCUCACACAUGCUAUAGGCAAGUGCUCUGCCACUGAGCUAUGGCCCCAGCCUAGGAAUGGGGUUUUCUGAAUUAACGUGUAGGUUGAGUUAUAGACUACUUGGUUACUAAUAACAGUAAACAUUUUUGUUCAUUUUGAAGAUUAAGGCCAUCAGUCAAAAUGAUCAAGUUUUGGUGGUAUUUCCCUGCUUAAUUACACAGUAGCUUGGCUCAGAGGUAAGACUUCCAAAUAAAGAAUCUUAAGAUAGUGUGCAGCUAUUUCUUUGCCUUGUCCUCCUUCCCCAACCUUGAUUAGUUGGUAAUUUUUGAGGAAUCUGCUUUAUUCCGGAUUAUACAGUUUCUUCUUUUGGAGUUGGGCCUGGGGUAAGGAAUGUGCUUCAACUGUUGUAGAAUGAGAAUUGUGGUGUCCUCUGUUACAAAGUUAGAGCAUGUGUUUGUUUCUUUGAAAUACAGUCAGGUAUCACUGAAAAACUGGGGCACAUUCCAAGACCUGCGUAGUUAGUCAAUUUUAUCAUUAUGCAAACAUCACAGAGUGUACUCAACAGACUAAGAUGGCCAUAAUGUUACUAGAUGAUGUAGUCUUUUUUUUUUUUUUUUUUUAGUUGUAGACAUAAUGCCUUUGUUUUAUUUAUUUAUUUUUAUGUGGUACUAAGGAGUGAACCCAGUACCUCACACAUUCUAGGUGAACACUCUACCACUGAGCCACAACCCCAGCCCUCAAUGAUAUGGUCUUAUGGUACUACUAUUGUAUGUGCAGUCCAUCAUUAUGUGGCAUAUGGCUAUACUUCAACUUUGGUAUUAUUUUGUCUUGAAAAGAAGUGUAAUCCCAGAUAUUGGGAGACUGAGGCAGGAGGAUUGUAAUUAGUUCAAGGCCAACCUGGCAACUUAGACCCUGUCACAAAAUAAAAAAGGCUGGGGAUCUCUCUCAGUGGUAGAGUACCCUUGAGUUCAAUCCCCCAGUCCCCUGUAGUACUGCAUAAAAAAGAAAAGAAAGGAUGGAGGGCAGGAUGAAGGGAAGAAGAGAGAAGUAAUUCAGAGUCAAAAACUUUGAAGGCUCCGGAGAUCCUCUUUUUAUUAUACAUUUGGCCUUCCAUUGCCUGAAGAGGCAGGUAGUCACCACAGCGAGUACUGACUCUCCAGAAUCUGCAGUUUCAGCUCUCCAGCUAACCUAAGUAGCCAGUUCUCUGCUUAAUAUCUCACUGUUUGUACAAUGAUUGACAUCACCUGCCAGUUCUGUCAUCUAAAGAGCAACUCUUCCCAGACAACUUUGAAAGUCCCUGUAACUUCUCCAAAAACUGCUUCUUCAUGGAGAUGGUCAUAUUAUUGGACUUUGGGGUGCUGAGACAAAGUUUGUAUUUCAUUUUGCCUCUAGUGAUGCUCAACUCUGAUUUUUAACUCACUUCUAACUGGUACUUUAAGGGCCAGGAUGAGAUUUCUCUCAGGCCAAAUAGAGAUUUCCAAAUUUCCCUUUGCCCAAAGUUGACCAAUUUGGAAGCUGUCUACAUGUGUUGCCUUGUUUUGAUUCUUUUCUUGUCUUGCUACCUUUUCUUUCCAGAAUUGUUUGAAAAGUCUGAGAUCCCUUGUUAAAUGGGGUGUUAUUCAGCAGCCCAAACAUGGGGUGACAUAGGUGUAGUGUGUGGUUACAUUGGCUUCUGAUUCUGAACUGUAAUUGGCUGCAGACAAGCUUCUCUAUUCAUGAAGGAGUUCAAUGAGAAGAUUGUUGGACACAGCCUGGAACCAAUUCUGAGAAGAAAACCGCUGAGUUACUAAAAGACUUAUUGGACCACCCCCAAACAGAGGAUGUGCCCAGAGUCCACUGCCUUUUUAUCAGAAAUGAGCCUGUACUGCUGCAAAGCUGCCCCAGAGUCUCUUUCACUGAACAAUUGAUAGAAGGAAAGUCCUUUCUGUGUUUGAGGGCAGGAUCUAUAUUUUAUGCUUUGCUAUAUACCCUGCAACACUCAACAUUGAUUUACCCAUAGUAGUAGUUCAUGUAAUACUGCUGAACUCUCUAAAGACUGUCUGUUCUAGGGCUUAGCUGGGCUUAUGAAGGACAAUGGAGUCAUCUCCUGAGAUGAUACAGUGAAGGCCAAUAAAAAGUGAAUAAUAAUAACAAAUUGCUGGUCACAGUACCUUGAAUGUAGAUCUAUAUCCUUUCUGCUAUUCCUCGUCUAUGCCAGUCUUGACAAUUUCUUUGCCUCUACUCUCUACUCAGAUGCCAUCCAUCAUUCAUGUUCAGACUUAAGGCCCAGCUCUUCCCUGGGGACCUCAAGCAUCCUAGGGCAUUGUGAUCCCUCCAAGUUGCUGGCAUACUUACUGGUUGGCUUCCUCUCGCUUGACAGUGUAGGCUACUGUGGCAUAUGGCUAUACUUCAACUUUGGUAUGAUUUUGUCAUAUCUCUAGGUCUUGCCUUCCUAGGGAGACUGUGAACCCCUUGAUGGUAAGAAUUUUCUCCCUGUAGUUCAGCUCCAGGGCCUGGCACAUGGUCCUUAGUGAUUGGUUAUUGAAGAUAAUAAAGGUAAAUGAUGUCCCCACUCAUCUGUUGCAGUGAUAACCUGUCCUUAUUUUAUGUAUUUUCUCUUUCUCUUUUCUUUCUUGCUCAGUCUCAUUCAUUUUAUAUUAGAUACAUAAAAAAUGUCAGUUCUCUCACUCUCCUGUACCAUUUUCUCCUGAACUAUUGUCUGGGCCUUAAUCCACCAGCAACUCCCUCACAUGUUGUUUAAUCUGCCUUGGUGGGUAGAACUCCCCUUCCUGUCCCUUUGCCACCAAGAGACUCCCAGCCCUUAUGUACAGGGCUGGAUGGUGGAGGCUGAAUGCAGGAAACAGUGGUAAGAAACGGACUCAAGUGUCCCUCUCUUAGCCUGUCUUCCCAACUCUUCCUUCUCUUUUUCCUCUCCCCUGGGUCUUACACUCCAUUGUCUGCAUGUACUUUAUAGUUGAAAAGACUCACAAGUCAUGUUUUUGAUAAAGCUUCCCCUUUAGAUGCCCCUGCAGGAAACAUGUUAUCUUUAUAUUCUGGUCCUUAGUGUGGAAGACCCUAUCUUCCUAUGCUGUUUACAAGAGGAUGGGAUUAAGAUGUACCUUUCUUUUUUUUUUUAAUAUUUAUUUUUUAGUUUUAGGUGGACACAAUAUAUUUAUUUGUUUUUUAAAUACCUUUAUUUUAUUUAUUUAUGUGGUGCUAAGGAUCAAACCCAGUGCCCCAUGCAUACAAGGCAAGUACUCUACCACUGAGCUAUAACCCCAGCCAAGAUACACCUUUCUAAUAAGAUACUUUUAAGGGCACUCUGGUCUAGCCCAAGGACACCACAGCAGGGUGUUGGCAGCAGGGGUCUGGGAAACAGAGCAGGCUUGUGUUACUUCAGAGGUAGGCAACACAAAUAAAGUGAAGAACAGCUCUGUGAGGCAGAGUGCUUUGGCCCUAGCAGUAUGCUUCUGAAGGCCCAAAGUGGCCUUCCUCACCAAAUCAGUGAGAGGAGAAACCUCCCAGUGUUAGGAAGGACCCUGUAGGCUCACAUUUCUCAGGAUAGUAGCUGAGUCCAUCUGGAUGGUACUCCUGGUUCUGAGCCUAUUGAUGGGUUGGAAGCUUCUGUCAGAAGGCGAUUUAACUCAGACCGUUCCACAUGUCCUACAGCUGAUUUAACAACUCAUGUUCAUUUAAUGAGACUUGGGUGGGUGCAGAAUCCAAUAGUAAUACAAAAUGUAUCUGUAGUCUAUGUUAAGUCAUGGUUGAAUUGCAGCCACAGGUUCCCUACGGAUACAAGAGUUGGCACAUAUAUAAUCAACAAAAGUAAUUCCAAACAUUGGAGUGUAUUAUUAUUCUAUAAUUACAAUAAAGAACAUUGCGUAUGGUAUUUCUGUGUUUAAUUUUU